UUUUGUGUAAUCUAUCACACACCUGGUUUUGAGAACAACAGAAGUAUCAGAAUUUAGAUCCACAAACUUUCUCAGCGUUACAGAUAUAGACAAAUAUAUAGUCACUAAAGAUCAGUUCUCAUGAACGUUGCCAAAUUAUCUGAAAAAUAUUUAUGUACAACAACUGAUCAGUAAAGAUUAAAAUAAAGGAAAUUUGAGGGUAACAAUGCAUUCAUACAUGAAUUUAACUGAUAUUGUGG
This 239-nucleotide long non-coding RNA is filed under the name Panax ginseng (ginseng). RNAcentral describes it as "long non-coding RNA (PGIN_LNC008456)". The record is from RNAcentral. Lineage: Eukaryota; Viridiplantae; Streptophyta; Magnoliopsida; Apiales; Araliaceae.